Molecule: ribosomal RNA, 490 nt
Filed under: uncultured bacterium
Lineage: Bacteria
Description: partial 16S ribosomal RNA
Rfam family: Bacterial small subunit ribosomal RNA
Source: RNAcentral
AUUGAACGCUGGCGGCAGGCCUAACACAUGCAAGUCGAACGGUAACAGGAAGAAGCUUGCUUCUUUGCUGACGAGUGGCGGACGGGUGAGUAAUGUCUGGGAAACUGCCUGAUGGAGGGGGAUAACUACUGGAAACGGUAGCUAAUACCGCAUAAUGUCGCAAGACCAAAGAGGGGGACCUUCGGGCCUCUUGCCAUCGGAUGUGCCCAGAUGGGAUUAGCUAGUAGGUGGGGUAACGGCUCACCUAGGCGACGAUCCCUAGCUGGUCUGAGAGGAUGACCAGCCACACUGGAACUGAGACACGGUCCAGACUCCUACGGGAGGCAGCAGUGGGGAAUAUUGCACAAUGGGCGCAAGCCUGAUGCAGCUAUGCCGCGUGUAUGAAGAAGGCCUUCGGGUUGUAAAGUACUUUCAGCGGGGAGGAAGGAAGUAAAGUUAAUACCUUUGCUCAUUGACGUUACCCGCAGAAGAAGCACCGGCUAACUCCGUG